AUUGAACGCUGGCGGAAUGCUUUACACAUGCAAGUCGAACGGCAGCACGGAGAGCUUGCUCUCUGGUGGCGAGUGGCGAACGGGUGAGUAAUAUAUCGGAACGUAUCCAGUAAUGGGGGAUAACGAGUCGAAAGAUUCGCUAAUACCGCAUACGCCCUACGGGGGAAAGCAGGGGAUCGUAAGACCUUGCGUUAAUGGAGCGGCCGAUAUCUGAUUAGCUUGUUGGUGAGGUAAAGGCUCACCAAGGCGACGAUCAGUAGCUGGUUUGAGAGAACGACCAGCCACACUGGAACUGAGACACGGUCCAGACUCCUACGGGAGGCAGCAGUGGGGAAUUUUGGACAAUGGGGGCAACCCUGAUCCAGCCAUUCCGCGUGAGUGAAGAAGGCCUUCGGGUUGUAAAGCUCUUUCGCAAGGGAAGAAAACUUAUGAUCGAAUAAAUCAUGAGGUUGACGGUACCUUGAUAAGAAGCACCGGCUAACUACGUGCCAGCAGCCGCGGUAAUACGUAGGGUGCGAGCGUUAAUCGGAAUUACUGGGCGUAAAGCGUGCGCAGGCGGUUUUGUAAGUCGGAUGUGAAAUCCCCGGGCUCAACCUGGGAACUGCGUUCGAAACUGCAAGGCUAGAGUGUGUCAGAGGGGGGUAGAAUUCCACGUGUAGCAGUGAAAUGCGUAGAGAUGUGGAGGAAUACCAAUGGCGAAGGCAGCCCCC
RNAcentral lists this ribosomal RNA (710 nucleotides) under Pseudomonadota bacterium. RNAcentral describes it as "bacterial SSU rRNA". It matches the Rfam family "Bacterial small subunit ribosomal RNA", at positions 28 to 729 of the family's 1533-position model. The record is from RNAcentral. Lineage: Bacteria; Pseudomonadati; Pseudomonadota.